GUCUAUGGCCAUGCCACCCUGAACAAGCUCGAUGUCUGAUCUCAGAAGCUAAGCAGGGUCGGGCCUGUUUAGUAACUUGGAUGGGAGACCAUCUAGGAAGACUAGGUGCUAUAGGCA
This 117-nucleotide ribosomal RNA is filed under the name Pteropus alecto (black flying fox). Lineage: Eukaryota; Metazoa; Chordata; Mammalia; Chiroptera; Pteropodidae. The record is from RNAcentral.